GCGGGUAUGACCCCUGCUGUGCCGGAGUUAACGCAUUAAGUUCUCCGCCUGGGGAGUACGGCCGCAAGGCUAAAACUCAAAGGAAUUGACGGGGACCCGCACAAGCGGUGGAGCAUGUGGUUUAAUUCGACGCAACGCGAAGAACCUUACCUGGAUUUGACAUCCUCUGACAACCUUGGAAACAAGGCCUUUCCGACUUGUCGGAACAGAGUGACAGGUGCUGCAUGGCUGUCGUCAGCUCGUGUCGUGAGAUGUUGGGUUAAGUCCCGCAACGAGCGCAACCCUUGUUUUUAGUUGCCAGUAUUAAGUUAGGCACUCUAAAGAUACUGCCUCGGUUAACGGGGAGGAAGGUGGGGAUGACGUCAAGUCCUCAUGGCCUUUAUAUCCAGGGCUACACACGUGCUACAAUGGGCUGUACAAAGGGUAGCAACGCCGCGAGGUGUAGCAAAUCUCAAAAAACAGUUCUCAGUUCGGAUUGGAGUCUGCAACUCGACUCCAUGAAGUUGGAAUCGCUAGUAAUCGUGGAUCAGCAUGCCACGGUGAAUACGUUCCCGGGUCUUGUACGCACCGCCCGUCACACCACGAAAGUCGGUUGUACCAGAAGUUGCUGGGCUAACCUCUUACGAGGAGGCAGGUACCUAAGGUACGGUCGGUAAUUGGGGUGAAGUCGUAACAAGGUAGCCG
This 684-nucleotide ribosomal RNA is filed under the name uncultured bacterium. RNAcentral describes it as "bacterial SSU rRNA". It matches the Rfam family "Bacterial small subunit ribosomal RNA", at positions 825 to 1502 of the family's 1533-position model. The record is from RNAcentral.